UAUUUUUUUUUUUAAUAACAAAAGAAGGCGAAGGCAAAGGCGAACAAGAUCAAUCAGGAGAAGAAGACUCUUCUCCACCAUUCGGGUUCGAGGCCUUUCUCUUAUAGGAUGGAGGCGCGACGGAAGAAGGGUUCAAAAUUUCCGGAGAUUGACGUCUUUGCUAACAUUUAUGUUCGGCCUAGGAAUGAGUUUACCGAGUCCUUUCAUGCGACUAUGGUGGAGAAAAGUCAGUCGAUGCUUCAAGAGUCCGCCUCCUAGCUUCUCUCGAACACGCCUAUUGAGUAUGUGGAUCCCCUUGAGAAUGCAGGGUUUCACAUCAUGACAAAGACGUUGGACCAGACUUUCGGUCGGAGACCAGGGACUUAUUGUUGGGGGAUGGAAAAUGCCAAGCGGCGAGAGAGUAUAGCCUCGUCAUCCUAGCAGUCAAAUGGCCAGGUUACGGCUUUGACGGAAGAAGUCGCUAGCCUAAGGAGUCAGCUAGCAUCUUACAAGUCUCAAAUGUCGAUGCUUGUACAAACCCUCAGUUCCUCUGGAAUACAUCUCCCAUGUUUAUCUACAUCAUCGCCCUCAUAGCCCUUCCACACUGAGCAAGCACAGCAAUCAAGCUCGUCGACCUCUGACCCCGUCCCCAACCAGCAGUAAGAUCCUUUAAACGACAUUCCUAUAGAUUUUUCCGCUUUUUUUUUCAUAGUUUUGUUCCUGCUUUCUUUUAAAACUUUAUA
Malus domestica (apple) is the source of this 722-nucleotide non-coding RNA. NCBI's taxonomy places the organism in Eukaryota, Viridiplantae, Streptophyta, Magnoliopsida, Rosales, Rosaceae. The record is from RefSeq and is a predicted model, not a curated record.